Molecule: ribosomal RNA, 254 nt
Filed under: uncultured bacterium
Lineage: Bacteria
Description: partial 16S ribosomal RNA
Rfam family: Bacterial small subunit ribosomal RNA
Source: RNAcentral
UACAGAGGGUGCGAGCGUUGUCCGGAAUCACUGGGCGUAAAGGGCGCGUAGGUGGCGCUGCAAGUCGGUGGUGAAAGCUCGCCGCUUAACGGCGAGUCGGCCAUCGAAACUGCAGGGCUCGAGCAGCUGUAGGGCUAAUGGGAAUUCCGGGUGUAGCGGUGGAAUGCGCAGAUAUCAGGAAGAACACCAACGGCGAAGGCAGCUCGCUAGGACGGUACUGACGCUGAGACGCGAAAGCGUGGGGAGCGAACAGG